UAGGGCGAAAGCCUGAUGCAGCAACGCCGCGUGCGGGAUGACGGCCUUCGGGUUGUAAACCGCUUUUAGUAGGGAAGAAGGGCUUCGGCUUGACGGUACCUGCAGAAAAAGGACCGGCUAACUACGUGCCAGCAGCCGCGGUAAUACGUAGGGUCCGAGCGUUGUCCGGAAUUAUUGGGCGUAAAGAGCUCGUAGGCGGUUUGUCACGUCUGCUGUGAAAACUGGAGGCUCAACCUCCAGCCUGCAGUGGGUACGGGCAGACUAGAGUGCGGUAGGGGAGAAUGGAAUUCCUGGUGUAGCGGUGGAAUGCGCAGAUAUCAGGAGGAACACCGAUGGCGAAGGCAGUUCUCUGGGCCGUAACUGACGCUGAGGAGCGAAAGCGUGGGGAGCGAACAGGAUUAGAUACCCUGGUAGUCCACGCCGUAAACGUUGGGCGCUAGAUGUGGGGACCUUUCCACGGUUUCCGUGUCGUAGCUAACGCAUUAAGCGCCCCGCCUGGGGAGUACGGCCGCAAGGCUA
RNAcentral lists this ribosomal RNA (519 nucleotides) under uncultured Actinomycetes bacterium. RNAcentral's name for it is "bacterial SSU rRNA". It matches the Rfam family "Bacterial small subunit ribosomal RNA", at positions 371 to 896 of the family's 1533-position model. The record is from RNAcentral. Lineage: Bacteria; Bacillati; Actinomycetota; Actinomycetes.